AGAGUUUGAUCAUGGCUCAGGACGAACGCUAGCGGCGUGCCUAAGGUAUGCAAGUCGAGCGGGAGCCUUCGGGCUCUAGCGGCGAACGGUCGAGUAACACGUAGACAACCUGCCUCCGAGUGGGGGAUAACUGCGGGAAACUGCAGCUAAUACCGCAUGUGGCCGGGAAGGGCUUCCUUCCCCGGCUAAAGGAGCAAUUCGCUCGGAGAUGGGUCUGCGGCCUAUCAGCUAGUUGGCGAGGUAACGGCUCACCAAGGCGACGACGGGUAGCCGGUCUGAGAGGAUGAUCAGCCACACUGGGACUGAGACACGGCCCAGACUCCUACGGGAGGCAGCAGUGGGGAAUAUUGGACAAUGGGCGAAAGCCUGAUCCAGCAACGCCGCGUGAGGGAUGACGGCCUUCGGGUUGUAAACCUCUUUCAGCUCCGACGAAGCGCAAGUGACGGUAGGAGCAGAAGAAGCACCGGCCAACUACGUGCCAGCAGCCGCGGUAAUACGUAGGGGGCGAGCGUUGUCCGGAAUUAUUGGGCGUAAAGAGCGUGUAGGCGGUUCGGUAAGUCUGCUGUGAAAUCUCUGAGCUCAACUCAGAACGGUCAAGUGAUACUGUCGUGCUAGAGUGCGGAAGGGGCAACUGGAAUUCUUGGUGUAGCGGUGAAAUGCGUAGAUAUCAAGAGGAACACCUGCGGCGAAGGCGGGUUGCUGGGCCGACACUGACGCUGAGGCGCGAAAGCUAGGGGAGCGAACGGGAUUAGAUACCCCAGUAGUCC
This 767-nucleotide ribosomal RNA is filed under the name uncultured Actinomycetales bacterium. RNAcentral's name for it is "bacterial SSU rRNA". It matches the Rfam family "Bacterial small subunit ribosomal RNA", at positions 8 to 796 of the family's 1533-position model. Lineage: Bacteria; Bacillati; Actinomycetota; Actinomycetes; Actinomycetales. The record is from RNAcentral.